CGGGGUGAGUAACACGUGAGCAACCUGCCUUUAAGAGUGGGAUAACGGUCGGAAACGACCGCUAAUACCGCAUAAUAUACAUGAAUCGCAUGGUUUGUGUAUCAAAGAUUUAUCGCUUAAAGAUGGGCUCGCGUCUGAUUAGCUGGUUGGUGAGGUAACGGCUCACCAAGGCGACGAUCAGUAGCCGUACUGAGAGGUAGAACGGCCACAUUGGGACUGAGACACGGCCCAGACUCCUACGGGAGGCAGCAG
Molecule: ribosomal RNA, 252 nt
Filed under: uncultured bacterium
Lineage: Bacteria
Description: partial 16S ribosomal RNA
Rfam family: Bacterial small subunit ribosomal RNA
Source: RNAcentral